UACGUAGGGUGCAGGCGUUAAUCGGAAUUACUGGGCGUAAAGCGUGCGCAGGCGGUUUCUUAAGUCAGAUGUGAAAGCCCCGGGCUUAACCUGGGAACUGCGUUUGAAACUGGGAGACUUGAGUGUGGCAGAGGGGGGUGGAAUUCCACGUGUAGCAGUGAAAUGCGUAGAGAUGUGGAGGAACACCGAUGGCGAAGGCAGCCCCCUGGGCCAACACUGACGCUCAGGCACGAAAGCGUGGGUAGCAAACAGG
RNAcentral lists this ribosomal RNA (253 nucleotides) under uncultured bacterium. Its description in RNAcentral is "partial 16S ribosomal RNA". It matches the Rfam family "Bacterial small subunit ribosomal RNA", at positions 524 to 776 of the family's 1533-position model. The record is from RNAcentral.